Long non-coding RNA from Artibeus jamaicensis (Jamaican fruit-eating bat), 1119 nucleotides. RefSeq lists it as uncharacterized. The record is from RefSeq and is a predicted model, not a curated record. The transcript is spliced from 3 exons. NCBI's taxonomy places the organism in Eukaryota, Metazoa, Chordata, Mammalia, Chiroptera, Phyllostomidae.
CAGCGAGAGCCCCAGACUUCCAAUGGUUUCUUUCUUGCUUAUCAGAAGAACUGGGGUGUUGCUGUGCCGUACGGUUGCUUAGGGAUCUACCAGGAAAUCAGCCCACGUUUUCUGUAAAGCCAGCCAAGUUGCCUGAGUUUGUCAGCACCCCAAACUGUCCCCACUGUCCCCUGAUGAUCCUGGGCAUGAAGUGACAAGACUUGGAGGAGCAGAGGACGGACGUCAGCGGUGGUGCAAAGUGGGCCCGGGGGCCUUCUCAGCGAGGUCACCAGGGGCUGCAAAGGCGCCAAGGGCCUUUCCAGUUCCGCAUGUAGCAACGUGUCCUCGCCGUUGCCCCAGCUAUUCCCCCUCCGGGAGUGACUGUGAAGGAGCUCCAAGCUGUGUGUGUUGGAUGGGUCUCCUUGGCCAAGCUGAUGUUGCAGCCACGGUGGUGAGAUUACCUGGUGAUCACAAAGAGUAAACAAAUCAUGCUUAGCACUCUACUGAGUGUGCCUGCGAUGCGGCUGUCAGAAGGGUUCUAGACAGAGCGCUGGCUGGCAGCUGCGGGUUGGCAGGGUGGGCGGGUGCUGAUGUGGACGCCUGCCCCCAGUGUUGGCAUCACUGUGGAUGGAAUGAGACAUUCACACGGACGACCGAGUCCGGUGGAGGAAGAGGGACAGCAUAGCAUUUCUCUCAAGGGGAGCGAAAGCCUCAGCCCUUGCCGUGACCGGCAUUCAUUGGGUUUCUGCUCACAUUACUUGAUGGUCCUCAUUUACUAUGCACAGGUUGCUUUAGAUGGUUACCUUUUACAGAAAACAAAGGAGCCAGUACUGCUAAUCACAUCACAGAAGAGGGAUAUUUGCAAAUGAAAAGGCAAAAGUGGUUGAACCAGUUAUCACCCUCCUCCUUGGAAGGUUUAGCAUGGAGUUUAGGAAGUUACUUUGCAGUAAAUGUUUGCCACAAAUCCAGGUGAGGGAGCUUUUUGCAAAAAGCAGCCCAGGCACAUUUCGGGCCUGAUGCCCCACAGGAGAACCUAUCCGUGGGUGUGGGUCCUGUGCAUCUCCUAGUGGGAGCUGGGUCCACGCCACGCAGAGCGGUCUCCGUUCUGGGUGUGAAGGGAUUGAGCAAAAGGAGAAGACA